AGACAGCAGCCGCCGCGGGAAUACAGAGGGUGCGAGCGUUAAUCGGAUUUACUGGGCGUAAAGCGUGCGUAGGCGGCUUCUUAAGUCGGAUGUGAAAUCCCUGAGCUUAACUUAGGAAUUGCAUUCGAUACUGGGAAGCUAGAGUAUGGGAGAGGAUGGUAGAAUUCCAGGUGUAGCGGUGAAAUGCGUAGAGAUCUGGAGGAAUACCGAUGGCGAAGGCAGCCAUCUGGCCUAAUACUGACGCUGAGGUACGAAAGCAUGGGGAGCAAACAGGAUUAGAUACCCCCGUAGUCCCUGUCUCUUAUAC
RNAcentral lists this ribosomal RNA (307 nucleotides) under uncultured bacterium. Its description in RNAcentral is "partial 16S ribosomal RNA". It matches the Rfam family "Bacterial small subunit ribosomal RNA", at positions 506 to 807 of the family's 1533-position model. The record is from RNAcentral.